UACGUAGGGGGCGAGCGUUGUCCGGAUUCAUUGGGCGUAAAGCGCGCGUAGGCGGCUCGGUAAGUCGGGUGUGAAAUCUCGGGGCUCAACCCCGGGCGUGCAUCCGAUACUGCCGGGCUUGAGGCAGGUAGGGGAGAUCGGAAUUCCUGGUGUAGCGGUGAAAUGCGCAGAUAUCAGGAGGAACACCGGUGGCGAAGGCGGGUCUCUGGGCCGGUCCUGACGCUGAGGCGCGAAAGCUAGGGGAGCGAACAGG
This 253-nucleotide ribosomal RNA is filed under the name uncultured bacterium. RNAcentral describes it as "partial 16S ribosomal RNA". It matches the Rfam family "Bacterial small subunit ribosomal RNA", at positions 524 to 776 of the family's 1533-position model. The record is from RNAcentral.